CGGAGGGUGCAAGCGUUGUCCGGAUUUAUUGGGUUUAAAGGGUGCGUAGGCGGCAGAUUAAGUCAGCGGUGAAAUUCCACAGCUCAACUGUGGAACUGCCAUUGAUACUGGUUUGCUUGAGUACAGAUGAGGUAGGCGGAAUUGACAGUGUAGCGGUGAAAUGCUUAGAUAUUGUCAAGAACACCUAUUGCGAAGGCAGCUUACUAAGCUGUAACUGACGCUGAGGCACGAAAGCGUGGGGAUCAAACAGGAUUAGAUACCCUGGUAGUCCACGCUGUAAACGAUGAUUACUCGAUGUGUGCGAUAGACAGUACGCGUCCAAGCGAAAGCGUUAAGUAAUCCACCUGGGGAGUACGCCCGCAAGAGUG
RNAcentral lists this ribosomal RNA (368 nucleotides) under uncultured organism. Its description in RNAcentral is "bacterial SSU rRNA". It matches the Rfam family "Bacterial small subunit ribosomal RNA", at positions 526 to 896 of the family's 1533-position model. The record is from RNAcentral.